GUUGUCCAGAAAAUGAGUCUUAGCUCAGCUUUAAAAAAUACCAAAAAAUAGAACUAAAUCUAGACUGUAUUUUUAAAAGUUAAUCUAAAAGGGUACAGCCUUUUAGAAAUGGGUACAACCUUGACUAGAGAGUAAAACCCCAAAACCCCAUAGUGGGCCUAAAAGCAGCCAUCAAUUGAGAAAGCGUUAAAGCUCAACAUCAAAAUCACAUAAAUUCCAACAAUAAACAAUCAACUCCUAGCCCUAAUACUGGACUAAUCUAUUAAAUAAUAGAAGAAAUAAUGUUAAUAUGAGUAACAAGAAAUAAUUUCUCCUUGCAUAAGCUUAAGUCAGUACCUGAUAAUACCCUGACCAUUAACAAUGAAUAAAAUAACCCAACAAAUAAAUUAUUUAUUAAUCACACUGUUAAUCCAACACAGGCAUGCACUCAAGGAAAGAUUAAAAGAAGUAAAAGGAACUCGGCAAACACAAACCCCGCCUGUUUACCAAAAACAUCACCUCCAGCAUUCCUAGUAUUGGAGGCACUGCCUGCCCAGUGACAACCGUUAAACGGCCGCGGUAUCCUG
RNAcentral lists this ribosomal RNA (566 nucleotides) under Giraffa camelopardalis (giraffe). Its description in RNAcentral is "partial 16S ribosomal RNA". Lineage: Eukaryota; Metazoa; Chordata; Mammalia; Artiodactyla; Giraffidae. The record is from RNAcentral.